GUGAAACACACUUAGUUCAUCUGUCUCGUUGGCGGACAUCCACUCCUUGGACUUGGGCACCCCGUGGCAGCUGGCGCACACUCGUUUGUGGAAUGGUAUGGCUUUGCCCGUGCGAAGGAACUCCUGUAGCUCUGUCUUGUCGUGUGGCACUGGGGAGUUCUCUUCCACCUCGAAGAUGGCCAAUGGAAAUACUCUGUAAUGUGCAAUAGAUGUUAGAUCUCAAUCACAAGGUCUUUCUGUCAAGGAACUGAAGGCAACUCACCUGGGUGCCUUGCGUCUCAAGUACUGUUCGUUGCGAGCAAUCAUCUCGAGAAACUUCUUGACCAGACCCGGGUUCGGAUACAGCUCGAUGUCUGAAGCCAGAAUAAAGUGGGUGCCCGGAGCUGACGUUGAAGUACGGAGGUGGAAGUGUGCAGUUGUAUCCCGUCUUGAAGACUUCGUGAGGCUUGGGCACAGACUUAGGAAUGUGCUUGGUUCCGAAGUAGAUGUGGAAGGUGGUAUAGGCGCGCACCAGGUGACUGCCGGGCAGACACUCUCGCAGAUACCGGAUCGAGUCCAGAGUGGGCUGGAAGUCCGUGCCGGGCGCGUGCAUGGCAAUGCUCACCGGGGCGUUCCAGCGCUCCAACAGCGGCACCAGGUUGUCCAGGAACGUGUAGUCCGCGUGCGUGGUGUAGGUGAUCGACUCAUGGCACUUGAUGUCGCCAUGCUCCGCCCGCACGUAGUUCUGCAGCACCCAGAAGUCGCCACGCUGCAAGGUCUGUUGGUGGUAGUCGUGGUCGAAGCAGUUGAUCAACGAUCGCACACGCUCCUCCAGCUCCUUCUCAUCGCCUGUGACUAUGUAGCCGCCGUCAGACUGGCUAUUGUUCACCUCGGCGACACCGCCGGGCCCAAUGUUUCCUAUCACCUGGGAGGGAUCGCCCAGAGCAGCCGCCCCGGCACCACUAUCGUUCGCCAACUGCGGGGCUCCAGCACCGCCAUCAGCCACCUGAGCCGCUGCUGCUGGAGGAUCUGCGUUGGCAUUGACCAGCUGCUUUUCCUCGGACUCGAAGAUCUCGGCCACCUGCUAAAGAGGAAACGAGGCGUUAGUUCCAAAGUUCGCUUGAGCAUUAUCUAGAUGUAUCUUACGUUCUGGUUCUUGGGAGUGGGCUGCUGUUGCUGCUGCACCUGGGCCGCUGAUGAGGCGGAGCCCACUUGCAUCAUUGACACCUGUUGCUGCUCCUGCAGCAGGAAGCCACCGCCGUUCGAGAAGUUGUUGCCGCCGCCGAUCAUCAAUUGACUGCCAAUGUACAGGAUCACCGCCACAUUGAUAAGGAUGCUGCAGCGCAACAACCAAUUGCGGCGGGUGAACAUUUUCUGGCCCAGAGGCUCAAAACGCAUGUUGUAGCUGCAAAAAAAAAUUAACAUUAAAAUAUAUGUUCAUUUGUAAAACAUGAUUUGAAAAACAACAGAUGCGCGAAACUAAAAUCAUGUCCAUGCUAGCAUGUAGAUAUCCAUGUAGAAAACAUGUAGUUCUACAGCAGCGCCCUCUCACAGAUUUAAAAGAAACACCCUUUACGGUAGAUGGCGUUAUUCAAAGGUUUGAGAAUUCAUAAGUUUGAAAGUCAUUGCUGGCCUUAUGCUAGAAAAUUGAGCCGUGAUAACAGAAUUUAAAUUAAACUAUUUAUAUUUUUUAUGAAUAAACUCGCACAGAUUUAUUGUGUACUUAGAAAAGU
This is a non-coding RNA of Drosophila melanogaster (fruit fly), 1712 nucleotides long. Lineage: Eukaryota; Metazoa; Arthropoda; Insecta; Diptera; Drosophilidae. The record is from Ensembl.